RNAcentral lists this ribosomal RNA (254 nucleotides) under uncultured bacterium. Its description in RNAcentral is "partial 16S ribosomal RNA". It matches the Rfam family "Bacterial small subunit ribosomal RNA", at positions 524 to 776 of the family's 1533-position model. The record is from RNAcentral.
UACGGGGGGAGCAAGCGUUGUUCGGAUUUACUGGGCGUAAAGGGCGCGUAGGCGGUCAGCACAAGUCAGUUGUGAAAUCUCCGGGCUUAACUCGGAAAGGUCAACUGAUACUGUGCGACUAGAGUGCGGAAGGGGCAACUGGAAUUCUCGGUGUAGCGGUGAAAUGCGUAGAUAUCGAGAGGAACACCUGUGGCGAAAGCGGCGCACUGGACCACAACUGACGCUGAGGCGCGAAAGCUAGGGGAGCAAACAGG